This is a non-coding RNA of Nicotiana tabacum (common tobacco), 432 nucleotides long. Lineage: Eukaryota; Viridiplantae; Streptophyta; Magnoliopsida; Solanales; Solanaceae. The record is from RefSeq and is a predicted model, not a curated record.
CUUCUUUCCAUUUUCCUCAGCAAUGCAUGUGUUUCGUUCCUGUUUUACAAUAAAGUUUUGGACAUCUUGAAUUUUUGGGUGGUUUUUGUCUCGAGUUAUCUUCUGGUAUUUGUGCAAUAUCAUCAAUCAUUGAAGGGAAGGAUAUAAUGAAAUUGCAACAUCCUGGUUUUGUAUUUGACUAAUUUCUGAUGAGAUGUUUAUCAAUGGUCUUCUCAAGCUUUUUACAUUUCAACUAAGAAGCAUUUCCAGAGGCGUGCAACGCAACAACAAGUUAUUUACGAGAUAAAAAGAGGGGUCUGCGUAAGUCAUUUGAAUAGUUGGAUAUGUCAUUGCUUUCAGUUUCUGGUAGGACAUAUAAGACAAAUAUAGAGAUGAGGUAGAAUUCUUAAAGCAUUCUUUAAUUUGAAGACCUUAUAUAAGCCAAUAACUGUA